Saimiri boliviensis boliviensis (Bolivian squirrel monkey) is the source of this 439-nucleotide non-coding RNA. Lineage: Eukaryota; Metazoa; Chordata; Mammalia; Primates; Cebidae. The record is from RefSeq and is a predicted model, not a curated record.
GAUUUUUUUUUUCACAGUUUCAAUGGAAACUUUUAUUGUUUAUUUGAUGGAUCAUCAAUUUCACCUUCCUACCUACAAAUGGAAUUUCAUCUUGUUUCCAUGCUGAGUAGUAAAACGUUGACAAAGCUAAUCAGAAUAAGCUACAUCAAAAGAGAACUAAGCUAACACAGCUCACUAACAGGCAAAAUAUAAAUACAUGCACUCUAGAAUGUACAAUGGUUUAGCCACUAAGAAAUUCAAAUGGGAUCUUGAAGAAUGGAGGCAUAUCCAGGGUGCAGCAAAGAUGAGCAGAGAUGCUGUGCAACUGUUUAAGGGUUCCUGGCACUGCACCUCUUGGCCACUAGCUGAAUCUUGACAUGGAAGGUUUUGGCUAAUGCCAAGUGAAGAUGCAGAAAAUGCUAAGUUGACUAAGGGGCUGUAUACAGGUAGUAAAAGGCAG